This 395-nucleotide ribosomal RNA is filed under the name uncultured bacterium. RNAcentral's name for it is "partial 16S ribosomal RNA". It matches the Rfam family "Bacterial small subunit ribosomal RNA", at positions 523 to 917 of the family's 1533-position model. The record is from RNAcentral.
AUACGUAGGUGGCAAGCGUUAUCCGGAUUUACUGGGUGUAAAGGGCGUGUAGGCGGGACUGUAAGUCAGAUGUGAAAACUAUGGGCUCAACCCAUAGCCUGCAUUUGAAACUGUCGUUCUUGAGUGUCGGAGAGGCAAUCGGAAUUCCGUGUGUAGCGGUGAAAUGCGUAAAUAUACGGAGGAACACCUGUGGCGAAGGCGGAUUGCUGGACGAUGACGGACGCUGAGGCGCGAAAGCGUGGGGAGCAAACAGGAUUAGAUCCCCUGGUAGUCCACGCCGUAAACGAUGGAUACUAGGUGUGGGGGGUCUGACCCCCUCCGUGCCGCAGCUAACGCAAUAAGUAUCCCACCUGGGGAGUACGAUCGCAAGGUUGAAACUCAAAUGAAUUGACGGG